CCAAUUUUGAGAUCUGAAUUUAAGAAAUGCAUGAUCAAAGUGACUCAGGUCUGCUACUCCCAUAUAGAUAAUUAGACUCUGGCUAAUUAUUAACAAAGUAUUGCCAAACAGAUGUGUUUACCUUGGUGCAUUUCUGCCAAUUUAUUAAAAAUUCUAACGGGGAUGUUGGUGGGGUGGUAGUAGUGCAAUUAGCAAAGCAAUGGACUUUUUGCUGUUUUUACUCUAUUUUUUUACAAUUUAUUUUUUAAGUGUUUAGGUCUUUAGAGGCAAGUAUUUACAUAUUUCAUUAAAACAGUUGGUUCUUAAAGUUAAAUGUAGGUUGAAUAUCCAAUGCAAUUUGGUGUUGUUGCCUUGCUUUUUCUUUAAUUUUAAAGUUAGUUUUUCAGAGAGGUAUAGAUACCACCCAAAUAUUCCAGAAAAGUUUUAUGAAAGGGAGGAGUCAUGGUGCCUGCCCCUUAGUCCUUCGCCUUUUGCCUUUAGCCCCUCCAUAUUUUUCCUCUACAAUAAUAUGCAUAUAUCUGGAGUUGCAGCAACCAUUUGUGAUGAAGAUUUUAAAAGUCACAUGAAAAAGUUUGCAGAGCAAUAAGAUAGAAGGAGCCUGGUUCCUGAUACAUCCUUGAGCAGAUGUUGUAGCCCUGGGCUAAAGUUCUUGUUAUAUGAGAAAAAAAUAAAUUAAGGUGCUGUCUGUCAGCUUAAGUCUUUCUAACAUCCUAAUUAUUCCAUCUUGAUUUGGAUGUCUACCCUAGAACCAACCAACAAUGGCCAGGAGGAGAGGAUGGAAUCAUAUUAGAACAUGAUGACCUCCCACCAUAACUGGGGGGAAUGGAGUGAGGCAACAGAGAGAAACUAAAAAUGCAAGAAUAUGCACCACUAGGAGACCCCACGGACAGAGCCCAGACCUGUUACUAUGAUGAAGAGUCUGAUGUACCUGUUUACAUCCCCUUUUUCCAAGACCAAGCAGAGGUGAAGAGACAACAGGCAAAGCAGUUCAUAAAAUAUCUAAAAGAGCGUCAGAGUAAAGUCUGCCUUCCGGUGACUAAGAGGCCUGACGUAGAGUCCUGGGGAACUGACCUGCAAGCUAUAGUGAUCGCUCUGGAGUUGGAAAAGGCAUUACACAAACACCUGCAAGACCUGAAGAGCUUGGCUUCUAAGAAUAGUGAAACCGAUCUCUUAGAAUUCCUGAAAAAGUUCUUGGAUAAACAAAAAAGGAACAUAAAGUAUCUGGAAUACCAGCAUAGCUAUCAGAAGGAUUUAGAAAGGCUGACUGCGAUGGAAGGCUCAUCUGAACAGCUUGCCGCAGCGUCAGGCAAAGAGGCUUAACGUCUGAAAGCAGCACAGCAAGUCUUCCAUUGUGGUAGUUCCCAAAGGCAACUACUUGAAUCUCGAUCUCUAUUUGACAGAAGAUGGCUUUCCUUUUAAUCUAGUAUCCCCAUCUUCAUUGUUAAUCAUGGAAAUAAAUUGAUUUUGCAUUACA
This 1474-nucleotide long non-coding RNA is filed under the name Ursus maritimus (polar bear). RNAcentral describes it as "lncRNA (ENSUMAG00000001911.1)". Lineage: Eukaryota; Metazoa; Chordata; Mammalia; Carnivora; Ursidae. The record is from RNAcentral.